AGCUAUGUAAAGGAUGGUUUGAAGAAGAGAAGAGAUUGGAAACGAGGAGAGCAGUUAUGGAGCUCAUUGAAAUAGUCCAGAAGACCCCAGCUCAUCUGAGGAUCAAGAAAAGCUUCACCAAGGUGGUGACCUUGAGUUGAUGAAACUAGAAUUUGAAGACUGAAACGUGUGAAAUCUGUCAUGCACUGACUAAGUGUUGUUAGGUGAUCCAGCUCAACUCACUCUGCAAAGGAAGAAAAUGAGAGAUGAAAGGACUGAGCCCAGCUCGAUUUCUGACAGUCGACAUGGCAACGUGGCCAGAGGUGACCCACAAUCUGGAAGACUUUGAGUCAAAUGCUACCUCUGACAUUUCCUAGCAGUGGGAU
This is a long non-coding RNA of Sarcophilus harrisii (Tasmanian devil), 365 nucleotides long. RefSeq lists it as uncharacterized. The transcript has 4 exons. The record is from RefSeq and is a predicted model, not a curated record. Lineage: Eukaryota; Metazoa; Chordata; Mammalia; Dasyuromorphia; Dasyuridae.